Molecule: ribosomal RNA, 499 nt
Filed under: uncultured Granulicatella sp.
Lineage: Bacteria; Bacillati; Bacillota; Bacilli; Lactobacillales; Carnobacteriaceae
Description: bacterial SSU rRNA
Rfam family: Bacterial small subunit ribosomal RNA
Source: RNAcentral
GACGAACGCUGGCGGCGUGCCUAAUACAUGCAAGUCGAACGAGAGCGACCGGUGCUUGCACUGGUCAAUCUAGUGGCGAACGGGUGAGUAACACGUGGGUGACCUGCCCAUCAGAGGGGGAUAACAUUCGGAAACGGAUGCUAAAACCGCAUAGGUUCUACAGUCGCAUGACUGAAGAAGGAAAAGAGGCUUCGGCUUCUGCUGAUGGAUGGACCCGCGGUGCAUUAGCUAGUUGGUGAGGUAACGGCUCACCAAGGCCGUGAUGCAUAGCCGACCUGAGAGGGUGAUCGGCCACAUUGGGACUGAGACACGGCCCAAACUCCUACGGGAGGCAGCAGUAGGGGAUCUUCCGCAAUGGACGCAAGUCUGACGGAGCAACGCCGCGUGAGUGAAGAAGGAUUUCGGUUCGUAAAACUCUGUUGUUAGAGAAGAACAGCGCAUAGAGUAACUGUUAUGCGUGUAACGGUAUCUAACCAGAAAGCCACGGCUAACUACGUGC